GACGAACGCUGGCGGCGUGCUUAACACAUGCAAGUCGAACGGAAAGGCCCUGCUUUUGUGGGGUGCUCGAGUGGCGAACGGGUGAGUAACACGUGAGUAACCUGCCCUUGACUUUGGGAUAACUUCAGGAAACUGGGGCUAAUACCGGAUAGGAGCUCCUGCUGCAUGGUGGGGGUUGGAAAGUUUCGGCGGUUGGGGAUGGACUCGCGGCUUAUCAGCUUGUUGGUGGGGUAGUGGCUUACCAAGGCUUUGACGGGUAGCCGGCCUGAGAGGGUGACCGGCCACAUUGGGACUGAGAUACGGCGCAGACUCCUACGGGAGGCAGUAGUGGGGAAUAUUGCACAAUGGGCGGAAGCCUGAUGCAGCAACGCCGCGUGCGGGAUGACGGCCUUCGGGUUGUAAACCGCUUUCGCCUGUGACGAAGCGUGAGUGACGGUAAUGGGUAAAGAAGCACCGGCUAACUACGUG
RNAcentral lists this ribosomal RNA (468 nucleotides) under uncultured bacterium. Its description in RNAcentral is "partial 16S ribosomal RNA". It matches the Rfam family "Bacterial small subunit ribosomal RNA", at positions 28 to 507 of the family's 1533-position model. The record is from RNAcentral.